GGGAAAAUAGUUGAAUAACAACAUUAAAUUGCAGAUUUAAAAGUGUAUUAUAAUACUGUUCCCU
This 64-nucleotide transfer RNA is filed under the name Drawida ghilarovi. RNAcentral's name for it is "tRNA-Cys". The record is from RNAcentral. Lineage: Eukaryota; Metazoa; Annelida; Clitellata; Moniligastrida; Moniligastridae.